This 464-nucleotide ribosomal RNA is filed under the name uncultured Desulfobulbus sp. RNAcentral's name for it is "bacterial SSU rRNA". It matches the Rfam family "Bacterial small subunit ribosomal RNA", at positions 924 to 1382 of the family's 1533-position model. Lineage: Bacteria; Pseudomonadati; Thermodesulfobacteriota; Desulfobulbia; Desulfobulbales; Desulfobulbaceae. The record is from RNAcentral.
CACAAGCGGUGGAGUAUGUGGUUUAAUUCGAUGCAACGCGAAGAACCUUACCUGGCCUUGACAUCCCGGGAAUUUCCUGGAAACAGGAGAGUGCUUUCAUUAGAGAGAACCUGGAGACAGGUGCUGCAUGGCUGUCGUCAGCUCGUGUCGUGAGAUGUUGGGUUAAGUCCCGCAACGAGCGCAACCCUUGCCUUUAGUUGCCAGCAGUUCGGCUGGGCACUCUAAAGGGACUGCCGGUGUCAAACCGGAGGAAGGUGGGGAUGACGUCAAGUCCUCAUGGCCUUUAUGGCCAGGGCUACACACGUACUACAAUGGCCGGUACAAAGGGCAGCGACACUGCGAGAUGGAGCGAAUCCCGAAAAGCCGGUCUCAGUCCGGAUUGGAGUCUGCAACUCGACUCCAUGAAGUUGGAAUCGCUAGUAAUCGUGGAUCAGCAUGCCACGGUGAAUACGUUCCCGGGCCUU